Molecule: ribosomal RNA, 477 nt
Filed under: uncultured bacterium
Lineage: Bacteria
Description: partial 16S ribosomal RNA
Rfam family: Bacterial small subunit ribosomal RNA
Source: RNAcentral
AUUGAACGCUGGCGGCAUGCCUUACACAUGCAAGUCGAACGGUAACAGGUUAAGCUGACGAGUGGCGAACGGGUGAGUAAUGUAUCGGAACGUGCCCAGUCGUGGGGGAUAACUGCUCGAAAGAGCAGCUAAUACCGCAUACGACCUGAGGGUGAAAGCGGGGGAUCGCAAGACCUCGCGCGAUUGGAGCGGCCGAUAUCAGAUUAGGUAGUUGGUGAGGUAAAGGCUCACCAAGCCGACGAUCUGUAGCUGGUCUGAGAGGACGACCAGCCACACUGGGACUGAGACACGGCCCAGACUCCUACGGGAGGCAGCAGUGGGGAAUUUUGGACAAUGGGCGCAAGCCUGAUCCGGCCAUGCCGCGUGCGGGAAGAAGGCCUUCGGGUUGUAAACCGCUUUUGUCAGGGAAGAAAAGGUUCUGGCUAAUACCUGGGACUCAUGACGGUACCUGAAGAAUAAGCACCGGCUAACUACGUG